This 724-nucleotide long non-coding RNA is filed under the name Penaeus japonicus. RNAcentral's name for it is "uncharacterized LOC122250143". The record is from RNAcentral. Lineage: Eukaryota; Metazoa; Arthropoda; Malacostraca; Decapoda; Penaeidae.
CCAGUGGCGAGGGUUCUCUGGAAAGGUAUAUAAACACCGGAGAAGCAUCCUGUGCCGCCAUCAGUAGCAAGAUCUUGGAAACCAACCAACAUGAAGUCUUUCCGUGUCAGUAGUGUUUGUCUUCUUGGUUUAUGCGCCCUGAUGUUGAUGUCUGUGAUGGCAGAAGCUAGGUCACCUCCAGGACCCAUAAUCUGUCCAUGGCAGCGACCGUGUCCUAGAUGCCAGCCGCGUGUGUGUCCAGCUAUUGCUUGCCCAAAGUAUGAAGACGUUUGCCCUCCAUGCAAACUCCCGACUUGCCCUCCUUGCCCACCACCCCCGCCUUGCAAUUGCCCUCCUGUCAGGUGCCCUCCAUGCCCAUAUUCGAAGGGCAAGAAGUAAAAGAUAAGAUCGGCAAGAGGGUGCAGAGGAGUUUACAAUCGAGCUUCUCAGGAAAGAGAAAGAUAAUCAGAAUUCAUGUAUGCAAGAGAAAUUGCAGUAAAAUAUGUGAUGUAAUAAAAUAAGUUCCUUUAAUUUUCUGUAAGUUACCAUCUACCUAUAUUUUGAAUCCAGUGCCAAGGUCUGUAAGAAAAGUGGGGGUUUGUAAAAAAAUGUUACUCCAUCUCAUGAUUCAUUCUAAACCGUUAAUGCAUUGGUUAAUAUGUAACCCUUCACUCAAUAAAUCACUUUGAUCUUUAUCAAUAUGUCUAUAAAGUGCAUUGCCUAGAAUAACAACACAUCAAACGUU